CUCCCAUAAAAUAUAUAUUGAUCCAGUGUACCAUGAUGCAUUGCAAAACCCCAGCAUUUAAUAACGGCUCACUGUAAUCUAUAUACACAUAUUCAAAGGCGUAAUUAAUAAUGUAUUUUCUGCUAUGAUAAGUCUAAUUAAAAAAAAAAUCACUUCAAUUAUUUUUCAAAUUAAUAAUGUAAUGCUUCGAUUAUUAUAAAAUAUUAUCGCUUCUGUUACAUAUGGUCUUACCAACAUGGACUAAGCUUCAUUAAAUCGUAUGCUUAUUAAUGACCGUAUUCAUAGUUUGCAGGAGUUACACCACAUGAAAAUGAAGGGGUUUAUUUACCACAUGAUGGAUUGUGCUUUAUUGCAAACCUAAUUGAAAUUGUUGGUACUGAAACAAUAACUAAUUGGUAUUUUUUCAAUUUGGUUAUUUUGGCUUUGCGAAAACAUCCCUGAGAAUUGGUGAUUUCUGAGCUACACUUGCCAUUAAGGAUUACAAAUGGUAACAAAAG
Molecule: non-coding RNA, 497 nt
Organism: Pelobates cultripes (western spadefoot toad)
Lineage: Eukaryota; Metazoa; Chordata; Amphibia; Anura; Pelobatidae
Source: the annotation of a GenBank genome assembly